This 497-nucleotide ribosomal RNA is filed under the name uncultured bacterium. RNAcentral describes it as "partial 16S ribosomal RNA". It matches the Rfam family "Bacterial small subunit ribosomal RNA", at positions 28 to 507 of the family's 1533-position model. The record is from RNAcentral.
GAUGAACGCUGGCGGCGUGCCUAAUACAUGCAAGUCGAGCGAACAGACGAGGAGCUUGCUCCUCUGACGUUAGCGGCGGACGGGUGAGUAACACGUGGAUAACCUACCUAUAAGACUGGAAUAACUGCGGGAAACCGGAGCUAAUACCGGAUAAUAUAUUGAACCGCAUGGUUCAAUAGUGAAAGACGGGUUUGCUGUCACUUAUAGAUGGAUCCGCGCCGCAUUAGCUAGUUGGUAAGGUAACGGCUUACCAAGGCGACGAUGCGUAGCCGACCUGAGAGGGUGAUCGGCCACACUGGAACUGAGACACGGUCCAGACGCCUACGGGAGGCAGCAGUAGGGAAUCUUCCGCAAUGGGCGAAAGCAUUACGGAGCAACGCCGCGUGAGUGAUGAAGGUCUUCGGAUCGUAAAACUCUGUUAUUAGGGAAGAACAAAUGUGUAAGUAAAUAUGCACGUCUUGACGGUACCUAAUCAGAAAGCCACGGCUAACUACGUG